This 18-nucleotide small RNA is filed under the name Arabidopsis thaliana (thale cress). Its description in RNAcentral is "ATSL119600". Lineage: Eukaryota; Viridiplantae; Streptophyta; Magnoliopsida; Brassicales; Brassicaceae. The record is from RNAcentral.
AGUUAUGAUACCGUCCUU